Molecule: ribosomal RNA, 484 nt
Filed under: uncultured bacterium
Lineage: Bacteria
Description: partial 16S ribosomal RNA
Rfam family: Bacterial small subunit ribosomal RNA
Source: RNAcentral
AUUGAACGCUGGCGGCAGGCCUAACACAUGCAAGUCGAGCGGAUGAAGGGAGCUUGCUCCUGUAUUCAGCGGCGGACGGGUGAGUAAUGCCUAGGAAUCUGCCUGGUAGUGGGGGAUAACGUCCGGAAACGGGCGCUAAUACCGCAUACGUCCUGAGGGAGAAAGUGGGGGAUCUUCGGACCUCACGCUAUCAGAUGAGCCUAGGUCGGAUUAGCUAGUUGGUGGGGUAAAGGCCUACCAAGGCGACGAUCCGUAACUGGUCUGAGAGGAUGAUCAGUCACACUGGAACUGAGACACGGUCCAGACUCCUACGGGAGGCAGCAGUAGGGAAUAUUGGGCAAUGGGCGAAAGCCUGAUGCAGCCAUGCCGCGUGUGUGAAGAAGGUCUUCGGAUUGUAAAGCACUGUAAGUUGGGAGGAAGGGAAGUAAGUUAAUACCUUGCUGUUUUGACGUUACCAACAGAAUAAGCACCGGCUAACUUCGUG